UAGGGAAUUUUUCACAAUGAGCGAAAGCUUGAUGGAGCAAUGCCGCGUGAACGAUGAAGGUCUUUAAGAUUGUAAAGUUCUUUUAUUUGGGAAGAAUGACUUUAGCAGGUAAUGGCUAGAGUUUGACUGUACCAUUUUGAAUAAGUGACGACUAACUAUGUGCCAGCAGUCGCGGUAAUACAUAGGUCGCAAACGUUAUCCGGAUUUAUUGGGCGUAAAGCAAGCGCAGGCGGAUUGAAAAGUCUGGUGUUAAAGGCAGCUGCUUAACAGUUGUAUGCAUUGGAAACUAUUAAUCUAGAGUGUGGUAGGGAGUUUUGGAAUUUCAUGUGGAGCGGUGAAAUGCGUAGAUAUAUGAAGGAACACCAGUGGCGAAGGCGAAAACUUAGGCCAUUACUGACGCUUAGGCUUGAAAGUGAGGGGAGCAAAUAGGAUUAGAUACCCUAGUAGUCCACACCGUAAACGAUAGAUACUAGCUGUCGGGGCGAUCCCCUCGGUAGUGAAGUUAACACAUUAAGUAUCUCGCCUGGGUAGUACAUUCGCAAGAAUG
Molecule: ribosomal RNA, 547 nt
Filed under: uncultured bacterium
Lineage: Bacteria
Description: bacterial SSU rRNA
Rfam family: Bacterial small subunit ribosomal RNA
Source: RNAcentral